This is a long non-coding RNA of Esox lucius (northern pike), 1388 nucleotides long. The record is from Ensembl. Lineage: Eukaryota; Metazoa; Chordata; Actinopteri; Esociformes; Esocidae.
AUGCUAAAGCCCCACCUAAAAUAGGCCUAGCGACAUCCCUGGUAGCUGGUACCAGAUACCUAUUUUUGUACCUGCUUCGUCGAGGUUCCAAGCGAGCUGAGGCGAUACCCAAAUGUGCCGUGAAAACACGGAAGACUUCGGAUUGGACUCAAAGCGUGCAGCAAAGCAAAACAAGCUUUUCUGUUGUUAGCCGUCCAGUGUCAGAAAAUUGUUUUAUGAGAUGAGAACAGCAUGUCUUUGCCAGUCUGUCCCAGGAGUCCUUGCAUUGAGAUUGAUUAAUUCAGUGCCAGUGCAUAGGACCCGACUCAUAAUUUAAGUGUUCGUAUUUUCACAAAACUCCAAUAGUUUGGACCUAUUCACUGGCAUUGAAAUCAACUCGUUAACCCCAUGAGAAACACACAGACACUCUGUUUUUGAGCCUACAAAAGGACCUCGUCUUUUUCCUCUGGGAUUUUCUAAAGGCUGUCUGGCAUACAUUGCACUGGUCAAAGUAGCAAUGUCAAGCCAAACAGAAGCAGCCUACAAAGCUUUCUAAUUAUUUUUGCAGUCUGCAAUGUAUUAAGACCAAAGUUACUGCUCAGACGUGCUUCCUCGCUACUACCAGCAUAAACGCUGCCUUGUGUACAGUAGGCUACUGAGUCAGUCAGCAAUUAUUUAUACCUUUUAAUCGGGUUUUAGAGGUUGUGUAGGUUAUUUUACAUGUGUUUGUGUUGAGUUGUUAGGUGUAUACACUUAAAUCUAACAGAACAUUGCAGUUACGUCAUCUUUAAUUUAUAUUAUACCUUUUCACUGUUUUUCAAACAGGGUCUGUGACCAUGUCAUCCAGAUUUAGUUUACUUUUCAUUUGCCACUUUAUGUUCAAAGCUUGUCAAUUUAAAAGAAAAUGUAUGUUAAUUCAGUGGAUUUGUCUGUUCACAGCAGGGUUCAUGUUAGUUGGCAAAUGCUGGCUUUUGGCUGGUAUCAGGUAUACGAUAUCUCCAUUGUUGUUCUCGUGUGUGUCGCGUUGGAGGUGGCGUCACAACAGUUUUCCUGUGAUGUCAUUAUGGGCGGGUACAGGGUACAAUCUGCAGUGGAGAACCAACCAAGGCGCGGCGUGUAGAGCCGAGUCAAGCUGGUCUUAUGUGGUGGAAAAGCUCCCAAAGCGAGUAGAGUUGAGGUGAGGCGAGUUGAGCCGAGUCGAGCUGGCCUUAUGUGGUGGAAAAGCUCCCAAAGCGAGUAGAGUCGAGGUGAGGCGAGUUGAGCCGAGUCGAGCUGGCCUUAUGUGGUUGAAAAGCUCCCAAAGCGAGUAGAGUCGAGGUGAGGCGAGUUGAGCCGACACCUUUAUUAAAUCAAUUCUGGUGCCGAUAUUAUGUUCUGCUCUGUCUUAAGAGGGAUCAUGGUUGAAAAAA